RNAcentral lists this ribosomal RNA (395 nucleotides) under uncultured bacterium. RNAcentral's name for it is "bacterial SSU rRNA". It matches the Rfam family "Bacterial small subunit ribosomal RNA", at positions 149 to 518 of the family's 1533-position model. The record is from RNAcentral.
CCGGGAAACGGGUGCUAAUACCGCAUUAGUUUUCUUGAUCGCAUGAUUGAAGGAAAGGAAAGGACCGGUCCUUUGUGCUGUCGCUUAGUGGAGUCGGACCCGGCGGCGUAUUAGUAGUUGGUGAGGUAAUGGCUCACCAAGACGAUGAUACGUAGCCGACCUGAGAGGGUGAUCGGCCACAUUGGGACUGAGACACGGCCCAAACUCCUACGGGAGGCAGCAGUAGGGAAUCUUCCGCAAUGGACGAAAGUCUGACGGAGCAACGCCGCGUGAGUGAAGAAAGGUUUUCGGAUCGUAAAACUCUGUUGUCAGAGAAGAACAAGUCGGAGAGUAACUGCUCCGGCCUUGACGGUAUCUGACCAGAAAGCCACGGCUAACUACGUGCCAGCAGCGGC